Molecule: ribosomal RNA, 254 nt
Filed under: uncultured bacterium
Lineage: Bacteria
Description: partial 16S ribosomal RNA
Rfam family: Bacterial small subunit ribosomal RNA
Source: RNAcentral
UACGGGGGGGGCAAGCGUUGUUCGGAAUUACUGGGCGUAAAGGGCUCGUAGGCGGCCAACUAAGUCAGACGUGAAAUCCCUCGGCUUAACCGGGGAACUGCGUCUGAUACUGGAUGGCUUGAGAUUGGGAGAGGGAUGCGGAAUUCCAGGUGUAGCGGUGAAAUGCGUAGAUAUCUGGAGGAAUACCGGGGGGGAAGGCGGCAUCCUGGACCGGCAUUGACGCUGAGUGAGCGAAAGCCAGGGGAGCAAACGGG